UGGGGUGGUCCGUGUUCGCCGGAAUUUGGCCAAAGAUCUCUCGGUCGAGGCGGACGGUGCCCUGUUGCUACAAGCAACCUAACAUCGCUUUGGCGAAAUAGGUUGGGCUUUCCACAAAUGGGUUCAUGGGGUAUUUAUAGGACAUUGCGGAUGUGGCUGGCUUGAACGAUGGACGCGCGACAUGAGGAUCAUGGGCACGUGUUCCGCGGGCGAGUGGAUGAAUACACUCAUGUGGUCGUGGCAAGCAGGACCCAUUGUUAGUGAGUGAGAGGGAGAGAAGAGAGAGAGGGCCCUACGUGGGUCGGUCGGCUAGCUGGACUGCUUCUAGCUUGACUUGCUGGACUCUUUUUAUUGUUUUCUUUUUCUUCUCUAUUUCACUUUUGAAAAUUCUUUUACAUUUUGAAUUUGAUUUUCCCUCAAAUUGCAAACUUGCUCGAAAUUCCAAUUAGAAUAUUUUUGUGUGA
Molecule: long non-coding RNA, 464 nt
Filed under: Hordeum vulgare
Lineage: Eukaryota; Viridiplantae; Streptophyta; Magnoliopsida; Poales; Poaceae
Description: long non-coding RNA (HVUL_LNC019857)
Source: RNAcentral